CACGUGGGUAACCUGCCCAAGAGAUCGGGAUAACACCUGGAAACAGAUGCUAAUACCGGAUAACAACAGAUGAUGCCUAUCAACUGUUUAAAAGAUGGUUCUGCUAUUACUCUUGGAUGGACCUGCGGUGCAUUAGCUAGUUGGUAGGGUAACGGCCUACCAAGGCGAUGAUGCAUAUCCGAGUUGAGAGACUGAUCGGCCACAUUGGGACUGAGACACGGCCCAAACUCCUACGGGAGGCAGCAGAA
This 248-nucleotide ribosomal RNA is filed under the name uncultured Lactobacillus sp. RNAcentral describes it as "partial 16S ribosomal RNA". It matches the Rfam family "Bacterial small subunit ribosomal RNA", at positions 114 to 354 of the family's 1533-position model. The record is from RNAcentral. Lineage: Bacteria; Bacillati; Bacillota; Bacilli; Lactobacillales; Lactobacillaceae.